AUGGCCUGGGAUUCUCUCCUUCUCACACUCCUUAUUCACUUCUCAGGGUCUUUGGCUCAGUCUGUCCUGACUCAGCCAUCUGCAAUGUCCAAGUCUGUUGGGGAGACAGUCACAAUCUCCUGCACUGGAAGCAGCAAUAAUGUUGGGCGUGGUUAUCCAUCCUGGUACCAGCAGCUUUCUGACAGUACCCCCAGAAUGCUCAUCUACAAUGCUGAUAAGAGACCAUCUGGGGUCCCAGACCGAUUCUCAGGCUCCAGGUCAGGGAACACAGCCUCCCUGAGCAUCUCUGGGCUCCAGUCUGAGGACGAGGCUUAUUAUUACUGUGCAGCCUAUGCUUUAUCUACUAUCAACAUUCACGGGGGGGGGGGAAAUUGUGAGCUACACUCCCAAAGCAAGCCACUGAUUUUUCCCUAG
Elephantulus edwardii (Cape elephant shrew) is the source of this 414-nucleotide non-coding RNA. The record is from the annotation of a RefSeq genome assembly. NCBI's taxonomy places the organism in Eukaryota, Metazoa, Chordata, Mammalia, Macroscelidea, Macroscelididae.